AUGGCUUCGUCCCACCUGGCAGCAGCUGCCUCCAUGGUCCUCUUCCUUGCCGUGUUCGCUGCCAGCACGAACGCGGCGACGUUCAACAUCAAGAACAACUGCCCCUACACGGUGUGGCCGGCGGCCACCCCGAUCGGCGGCGGUCGGCAGCUCAACACCGGCGAGACGUGGACCCUCGACGUCCCCGCGAACACGCCCUCCGGCAGGGUGUGGGGCCGCACGGGCUGCAACUUCAAUGGCAACUCCGGGAGCUGCCAGACUGCCGACUGCGGCGGCGCGCUGUCGUGCACGCUGUCCGGGCAGCCGCCGCUGACCCUGGCCGAGUUCACCAUCGGCAACGGCCAGGACUUUUACGACAUCUCUGUCAUCGACGGCUUCAACGUGCCGUUGUCAUUCUCCUGCAGCAACGGGCCCAACCUGGUGUGCCAGGCCGACAAGUGCCCCGACGCCUACCUCUUCCCGACCGAUGACACCAAGAACCACGCCUGUAACGGCAACAACAACACCUACCAGGUUACCUUCUGCCCAUGA
This 531-nucleotide ribosomal RNA is filed under the name Triticum aestivum (bread wheat). RNAcentral describes it as "partial small subunit ribosomal RNA". The record is from RNAcentral. Lineage: Eukaryota; Viridiplantae; Streptophyta; Magnoliopsida; Poales; Poaceae.